Long non-coding RNA from Coffea eugenioides, 759 nucleotides. RefSeq lists it as uncharacterized. The transcript is spliced from 2 exons. Lineage: Eukaryota; Viridiplantae; Streptophyta; Magnoliopsida; Gentianales; Rubiaceae. The record is from RefSeq and is a predicted model, not a curated record.
UUUUCCCAAAUAAUCUUAAAUCCAAACACACUCAUAGUCUGAUCUGAGGGCUUCAGGCCUCAGCCAAAACUCAAGAAAAAUGUGUGAGGCUGCGGAGAGCCGGGGAGUUCUUAAAGGGUUGUUGCCCCUCUCUGUAUUGCCGAUGAUUUCCUGCCCAAAAAUACAUGCUUAAACAGCCCUUUGCAGAAAAAUCAAGAUGCUGAAAAGAACCAUGUUGUUUCCAGGGAAUCUUUUCUUGAGUUUGUUGUUGUUGUUGGGGCACGGAGUUCAUCCGACCCGUAUCUUGGCUGGGCAACCCUGAUGGCAUGUGAGCUGAGAUUUUCUCAUUCGCAUAGGCAACUGGGAAUUUUUGCAGCCAUGGCGGUGUCUUCCUCCAUUUUGCCUCCUCUUGAUGCGGAUCUGAGCCUAGUUGAACUGUGCAUGAUGAUUUACUGUCUUCUCUCAACUUCCCGAAAGGAAUGAGUUUGUUUAGUUUGCAUUCGACAUUUUUACUAGGUUUUAUCGUGCUUUUAGACUCAAUUUUUGAAUGCUAUAAUUCUAUCAGUAUUUUGACCCAAGAAAAUGAAAUAUCUGAUCGGCACUAGGGAAGAUAAUUUAUUUUCUGGCUACCAAACCUGCUUAUUGCUCUAUAAUUUUGGCUUGAAAGCCAAGUGAACUGGAGUAAUAUGCCUACUUAAGCUAGAUAGUAGCUAGUGAAAGCUUAGGUUUAUUGACGAUCAAAUGAUCACAUUUAUGCUUAUGUAGUAUGGUUGAGCUAUU